GAACGAACGCUCGGCGGCGUGCUUAACACAUGCAAGUCGAACGCGAAAGGGACUUCGGUCCUGAGUAAAGUGGCGCACGGGUGAGUAACGCGUAGAUAACCUGUCUUCAUGUCUGGAAUAAUACGCCGAAAGGGGUACUAAUACCGGAUAUUCUUGCUUUUUCAUAAGUUAUGCAAGCAAAGGUGGCCUCUGCAUAUGCUACUGCAUGAAGAGGGGUCUGCGUACCAUUAGCUAGUAGGUGGGGUAAUGGCCUACCUAGGCGACGAUGGUUAGCGGGUCUGAGAGGAUGAUCCGCCACACUGGCACUGGAACACGGGCCAGACUCCUACGGGAGGCAGCAGUGAGGAAUAUUGCGCAAUGGGGGAAACCCUGACGCAGCGACGCCGCGUGAGUGAGGAAGGCCUUCGGGUCGUAAAGCUCUGUCAAGAGGAAAGAAGUGUACAAUGGCUAAUACCUGUUGUAUUUGACGGUACCUCUAAAGGAAGCACCGGCUAACUCCGUGCCAGCCGCCGC
Molecule: ribosomal RNA, 513 nt
Filed under: uncultured bacterium
Lineage: Bacteria
Description: bacterial SSU rRNA
Rfam family: Bacterial small subunit ribosomal RNA
Source: RNAcentral